This 274-nucleotide ribosomal RNA is filed under the name uncultured bacterium. Its description in RNAcentral is "partial 16S ribosomal RNA". It matches the Rfam family "Bacterial small subunit ribosomal RNA", at positions 523 to 796 of the family's 1533-position model. The record is from RNAcentral.
AUACGGAGGGUGCAAGCGUUAAUCGGAAUUACUGGGCGUAAAGCGCGCGUAGGCGGCUUUGUAAGUCGGAUGUGAAAGCCCUGGGCUCAACCUGGGAAUUGCAUUCGAUACUGCAUGGCUAGAGUAUGGUAGAGGGUAGUGGAAUUCCUGGUGUAGCGGUGAAAUGCGUAGAUAUCAGGAGGAACAUCAGUGGCGAAGGCGGCUACCUGGACCAAUACUGACGCUGAGGUGCGAAAGCGUGGGGAGCAAACAGGAUUAGAAACCCCGGUAGUCC